GACAGAGGGGGCAAGCGUUGCUCGGAAUUACUGGGCGUAAAGGGCGCGUAGGCGGAAUGGCAAGUCGGUCGUGAAAUCCUUCGGCUCAACCGAAGAACGUCGAUCGAAACUGCCGUUCUUGAGGAUUGCAGAGGAGACUGGAAUUCCCGGUGUAGCGGUGAAAUGUGUAGAGAUCGGGAGGAACACCGGUGGCGAAGGCGGGUCUCUGGGCAAUUCCUGACGCUGAGGCACAAGACGUGGGGAGCAAACAGGG
Molecule: ribosomal RNA, 253 nt
Filed under: uncultured bacterium
Lineage: Bacteria
Description: partial 16S ribosomal RNA
Rfam family: Bacterial small subunit ribosomal RNA
Source: RNAcentral